Molecule: long non-coding RNA, 746 nt
Organism: Oryza sativa Japonica Group (Japanese rice)
Lineage: Eukaryota; Viridiplantae; Streptophyta; Magnoliopsida; Poales; Poaceae
Source: RefSeq, a predicted model, not a curated record
UGGUCAUCAUCAUUGGCAUCCAUGUUUAUCUUGUCAAGUAACUCCUUUUUGGGGGUGUCAAAGCCUACAAGCUUUGCUUCGUCGAUGUUGCUACGAGAAUGAUUCCGAACAUCCUCCAUGGACUCGAUCUCAUCGAAGCUAUUCGGUGGCGAUCUUUGAGAUUUGUCAAUUGCUGCAAGAGGCUUUGGUUUCCGACAUGGACCAUAAACUCUUCAAGACAAUCUUCAAUGUCGUAGGACAAGCUCCUUACUUGCUCAGCCCACACCUUCAACAGCAGGUCCUUCUUCUUCAUUGUUUCAGCAGCUAUUAGGAACGCUUGCAUUGUUUUUAGCUCAUCAUUCAUGAACCUGCCAAAAAAAAAAACAGUGGUAAAACAAAAUUUAGCACUCUUGAGUAUAUGGAAUUCCGAAUAACUGAUUUUGCUCUGGAAGUCUAAAUUCUUGUUUUAUUAAUUCAGAUUAGAAGAAUUAUUAAAGGUAUUGUGACUCAGCGUAUUUUUCUACCUCUACAUGCCUAGGUCCUAUAUAUGCAUGUAAAAAUAUCUCAAAAAGAUGAUGUUUGAAAUUUUAAGAGUACAAACUUCAAACGAAUUUUCUCAAAUCAUGGAGCAAUGACAACGGAGAUGACAAAACAUGCCAUGUACAUCAGGGAGUAUAUUUCCCAUUGAUACCCUUACCAUGUGGACUCAUAUCACAUCUCUUUAAUUAUAACAAAUAAAGUAGAAUGAGAUCUAAAUGGAUUGCUCA